Molecule: long non-coding RNA, 466 nt
Organism: Suricata suricatta (meerkat)
Lineage: Eukaryota; Metazoa; Chordata; Mammalia; Carnivora; Herpestidae
Exons: 3
Source: RefSeq, a predicted model, not a curated record
AUAACACAGUUUCUAACAGUUCAUAUCAGGAACUAGCUCAAUGCCAACAGAAAUAUUGGUCUCAUAAGUAAGAACUGUAAAUCAUCAACCUGAGAACCAAGUUCUUUUUGAGAGACCAUAACCCACCAGCUGGCUCGUGUGGGUGAUGGGAAAGACCUCUACAAACAUUCCGAUAUAAAGAAGCAAAACGCAACUGUAAGGAAACCCAUGAAAUCAUGAUUCGACCAGAUUCUCCAUGUAGCCGAGAACACACAGACUACUAACGUGGCUGAUAGGCAGAACCAAAGUGGCCAAGAUAACAACAUAGGAGGGCUCUGCGAUGGGGAUGGGGCGCGACAGGUUCACACAGAGGUUUGUUUUGAUGAAGGAAUGUUACUUCCUCUGAGCACAAUGGAAAUCCUCACCUUUGCCUCCUCAGGGGAGAAGGAAACAUCCUAACACCAGAGGCAACCUGUUAGUGUACACG